This 347-nucleotide ribosomal RNA is filed under the name uncultured bacterium. Its description in RNAcentral is "bacterial SSU rRNA". It matches the Rfam family "Bacterial small subunit ribosomal RNA", at positions 30 to 375 of the family's 1533-position model. The record is from RNAcentral.
AUUGAACGCUGGCGGCAUGCCUUACACAUGCAAGUCGAACGGCAGCACGGGAGCAAUCCUGGUGGCGAGUGGCGAACGGGUGAGUAAUAUAUCGGAACGUGCCCAGUCGUGGGGAUAACGUAGCGAAAGCUACGCUAAUACCGCAUACGAUCUAUGGAUGAAAGCGGGGGAUCGCAAGACCUCGCGCGAUUGGAGCGGCCGAUAUCAGAUUAGGUAGUUGGUGAGGUAAAGGCUCACCAAGCCGACGAUCUGUAGCUGGUCUGAGAGGACGACCACGCCACACUGGGACUGAGACACGGCCCAGACUCCUACGGAGGGCCAGCAGUGGGGAAUUUUGGACGAAUAGG